This 772-nucleotide ribosomal RNA is filed under the name uncultured Neocallimastigales. RNAcentral describes it as "partial large subunit ribosomal RNA". It matches the Rfam family "Eukaryotic large subunit ribosomal RNA", at positions 20 to 627 of the family's 3401-position model. Lineage: Eukaryota; Fungi; Neocallimastigomycota; Neocallimastigomycetes; Neocallimastigales. The record is from RNAcentral.
CACGCAUGACACACUGCAUAUCAAAAGCGGAGGAAAAGAAACUAACAAGGAUUCCCCUAGUAACGGCGAGUGAAGCGGGAAGAGCUCAAAUUUGAAAUCUUCAAGGGUUUCCCUUGACGAAUUGUAGUUUAAAGAAGUGUUUUCUGUUAGAGAGGUGGUAAAAGUUCUUUGGAAUAGGACAUCAUAGAGGGUGAGAAUCCCGUAUUUGAUCACUUUCUACUAACGUUGUGAUACACUUUCAAAGAGUCGGAUUGUUUGGGAAUGCAGUCCAAAAUGGGUGGUAAAUUUCAUCUAAAGCUAAAUAUUGGCGAGAGACCGAUAGCGAACAAGUACCGUGAGGGAAAGAUGAAAAGAACUUUGAAAAGAGAGUUAAACAGUACGUGAAAUUGUCAAAAGGGAAGCGUUUGACACCAGUGUUGUUUUUCCGAAAAUCAAUUAUGAAUGGCUUGAUUUUAAGUUUCAUGACCUUAAAAGCUUGUUUCUUAUUUUUCAUGUCUUUCGUAAUGCACUUUUCGGUUAACAAGUCAACAUCAAUUUCUUUUGUUGUAAAAGGUUAAGAGGAAGGUGGCUUUACUUUCGGGUAAAGUGUUUAUAGCCUCUUAACUCUGCAAUCGGAGAGAUUGAGGUCUGCAGCGUAGAUCCUUCGGGGUUAGAUACAUUUGUGCUAAGUUAUAGCUUUUCAUAGACAACUUGUUGACUAUGUUAAGUCUUGUAAUUUACUCGCAGAUGCUAUUUUACCUACGCUUAGGAUGUUGAUCUACAGAGCGAGAGU